UUGAGUGUGGAUAGGUUGUAGCAGUUGGGUACUCUUCAAGCAAAUGGAGGACGCAAGGAUACACAAUGCUGCAACAGGUUUGGCUCAAUAGCAAUGGCAUGGCAACAGUGCAGCAGAGAGAGAAACUUAGUGCAUGAGCAACAAAUUUUUGGCAGCUCUGAAACAUGAUACACAAGGAAGACUAGAGUUCUCUUGAUUUUCUGGUAUGUUGUUUUGUUCUGUUGAUAGUGUGAUAUUUGAACCUGACGAUGCAUGUUUUAAACAUGUUUAUUAGGGAUGUGACUGUUUGACAUUUAUAUUAAUAAAAUCCUUUGUGUUUUUGUGUCUUGUUCAGA
RNAcentral lists this long non-coding RNA (335 nucleotides) under Aquilegia coerulea. RNAcentral's name for it is "long non-coding RNA (ACOE_LNC000610)". Lineage: Eukaryota; Viridiplantae; Streptophyta; Magnoliopsida; Ranunculales; Ranunculaceae. The record is from RNAcentral.